Ziziphus jujuba (common jujube) is the source of this 998-nucleotide long non-coding RNA. RefSeq lists it as uncharacterized. The transcript is spliced from 3 exons. Lineage: Eukaryota; Viridiplantae; Streptophyta; Magnoliopsida; Rosales; Rhamnaceae. The record is from RefSeq and is a predicted model, not a curated record.
UAAACAAAAUAUCUCUAAAUUCCUUAAAAAGUAUUUAUUUUAAUACAAAUGAAGAUUCGGAAUCCAUGUUUUGGGCUUCACUCUGUCACAUUCCAUAUGGGAGUUCAAUGAAAGCGAACCCAGAAUUGAACAUAAAACAAAGCGUAUCUAUAUAUCUACAAGUUUGAAGAAAGGAAAGCAAAAGCACAGUUUUUGAAAUCCCUAAAGUGGGAGCCUUGGUGGUGGCCAUAGUUUGGUCAUGUGUUCUGGAGAGGAUGAAAGUGAAGAUGAGAAUGAUGAACUUAUGAAGAGAGUCAAUUCAAAGACGGAUAAAUGAUUUACCAUAAUAAACUCCCCCUUGCAAGGGCGUGUUAGAUUUAAGGAAUUGAUUCGACUGCAUACACAUUGGGAGCUACUGCAGCGGAUUGAACUUGUAAGGAAGGCACCAGUUUCUGGGUGUAAGAAGAUUUCAAACUGCCAUAGCUCCCAGAGAUAGGUGUGGCAUUCCCUGGAAUUAUCAAGAGUUUGUGAUAAGGGGGGGGGAGACGGUUGAUAGAAUGAGGAAGCGGAAAAUCUAGGUGGCUGCAUUUGUUGGUGCAUCUUGGUUGUUAAAUGUUUCUUCAUUGUUUAUGCUUGGAUUUGAGCCAUGAACUGAGGAAAAUCCUAAACCGUGUGGCUCUCUACCAAGUUCUAGGGGAGCUCUCACUUUCCAUUGCCGUAAAUACAGCUUUGGGGACUACAAAUAUGAUGAAGCAGCAUGCUGGUGAAUUUUGCUCCCUCAGUUGUUCAUCACGGUGCAAAAAUUAUUAUCCCCUGCAGGAUGAAGCUUGCAGUCAUCCUAAAGAGAAGACGGGGUCAUCAAUUUAAAGAGAAUUUUAGGCUUCUAUUCUUGUAUUUGGUUUUACUAACCUGCUCCACCGAUGAAUAGCACACUUCCUGUGUACCAUAUUAUUGUAAAUUUAUAUUACCUGCUUAACUUUCAAGUUUGUCAUAUUAAUUAGAUUCUUAUUACUUCUUCA